RNAcentral lists this long non-coding RNA (268 nucleotides) under Elaeis guineensis (African oil palm). RNAcentral's name for it is "long non-coding RNA (EGUI_LNC029547)". The record is from RNAcentral. Lineage: Eukaryota; Viridiplantae; Streptophyta; Magnoliopsida; Arecales; Arecaceae.
AGGAGAGUUCAUCCAAACGAAAACUGGAGGGACAUAUAUCUUGAAGUUACCUUCUGAAAAGAUCUUAGAGCUAGAAAAUUAUUAUCAUAUGAUUAUGAUCAUUAGAAACAUUGUAUCUAUACUCUUGUUAUUAUGACAAAGUUUUGAAAUAAAUAUAAAGGGCAAUGGUUGCUCAAUUUCAAUUUCUAAUGAAGUUUUCUGUCAUGGCAUUUUGGAUAAUGGUCUUUUGGUUCUUUCUCUUAAUGAUAAUAUUUUUCAUAUUGAUGAA